GAUGAACGCUGGCGGCGUGCCUAAUACAUGCAAGUCGAGCGAACAGACGAGGAGCUUGCUCCUCUGACGUUAGCGGCGGACGGGUGAGUAACACGUGGAUAACCUACCUAUAAGGCUGGGAUAACUUCGGGAAACCGGAGCUAAUACCGGAUAAUAUAUUGAACCGCAUGGUUCAAUAGUGAAAGACGGUUUUGCUGUCACUUAUAGAUGGAUCCGCGCCGCAUUAGCUAGUUGGUAAGGUAACGGCUUACCAAGGCAACGAUGCGUAGCCGACCUGAGAGGGUGAUCGGCCACACUGGAACUGAGACACGGUCCGGACUCCUACGGGAGGCAGCAGUAGGGAAUCUUCCGCAAUGGGCGAAAGCCUGACGGAGCAACGCCGCGUGAGUGAUGAAGGUCUUCGGAUCGUAAAACUCUGUUAUUAGGGAAGAACAAAUGUGUAAGUAACUAUGCACGUCUUGACGGUACCUAAUCAGAAAGCCACGGCUAACUACGUG
Molecule: ribosomal RNA, 497 nt
Filed under: uncultured bacterium
Lineage: Bacteria
Description: partial 16S ribosomal RNA
Rfam family: Bacterial small subunit ribosomal RNA
Source: RNAcentral